AAGGUCGACAAGGACUAUGGCUACAUUCCUGACCUCUAGAGGGCCAUCCUCCGUAGCCGCACCACAGCAGACAGAGGCAUGCCGCGUGUGAGACGCCAGAGGCCUGAUGACCCGCGGCAGUAUGGUGUGCUAUGUGGUAUUCCACCUCCAACCACAGAGGAGCUACUGCACACACAAGUCAGUCGACGACAAGGGCCAAGGACUACCUAAGUGAGCAGCCGACCAUAGGAGAAGACGUGACCCCUGCGACACCUCACCUGAGUCGAUCCCACCUACACCCCUACUAUGGCCACCACUCAAAAAUACUGACCAGGGGUUAGACAUGUUCUAUAGGCCUAGCCCCACUGAAAGAUGGUGUACUUAUUUUUUAAUUUACCUUUUUCUAAACUUUUUUUGUGGUGUGUUAUGAAUGUUUGGGAUUGUCAUCUAUAUUUUUGAAUGUAAUAAAAGUGUUACCCAAGUGA
This is a long non-coding RNA of Sebastes umbrosus (honeycomb rockfish), 464 nucleotides long. RefSeq lists it as uncharacterized. The record is from RefSeq and is a predicted model, not a curated record. The transcript has 2 exons. NCBI's taxonomy places the organism in Eukaryota, Metazoa, Chordata, Actinopteri, Perciformes, Sebastidae.